UACGUAGGCAGCAAGCGUUGUUCGGAUUUACUGGGCGUAAAGGGUGUGUAGGCGGUUGUUUAAGUUUGGUGUGAAAUCUCCCGGCUCAACUGGGAGGGUGCGCCGAAUACUGAAUGACUCGAGUGCGGGAGAGGAGAGUGGAAUUCCUGGUGUAGCGGUGAAAUGCGUAGAUAUCAGGAGGAACACCGGUGGUGUAGACGGCUCUCUGGACCGUAACUGACGCUGAGACACGAAAGCGUGGGUAGCAAACAGG
This 253-nucleotide ribosomal RNA is filed under the name uncultured bacterium. Its description in RNAcentral is "partial 16S ribosomal RNA". It matches the Rfam family "Bacterial small subunit ribosomal RNA", at positions 524 to 776 of the family's 1533-position model. The record is from RNAcentral.